Molecule: ribosomal RNA, 499 nt
Filed under: uncultured bacterium
Lineage: Bacteria
Description: partial 16S ribosomal RNA
Rfam family: Bacterial small subunit ribosomal RNA
Source: RNAcentral
ACUCAAAGGAAUUGACGGGGACCCGCACAAGCGGUGGAGCAUGUGGUUUAAUUCGAUGCAACGCGAAGAACCUUACCUGGCCUUGACAUCCCCGGAACCCCGCAGAGAUGUGGGGGUGCCUUCGGGAACCGGGAGACAGGUGCUGCAUGGCUGUCGUCAGCUCGUGUCGUGAGAUGUUGGGUUAAGUCCCGCAACGAGCGCAACCCUUGUCCCUAGUUGCCAGCACUUCGGGUGGGCACUCUAGGGAGACCGCCGGUGACAAAUCGGAGGAAGGUGGGGACGACGUCAAGUCAUCAUGGCCCUUAUGGCCAGGGCUACACACGUGCUACAAUGGCCGGUACAGAGGGUUGCCAACCCGCGAGGGGGAGCCAAUCCCAGAAAGCCGGUCGUAGUCCAGAUCGGAGUCUGCAACUCGACUCCGUGAAGCCGGAAUCGCUAGUAAUCGCGAAUCAGCAUUGUCGCGGUGAAUACGUUCCCGGGUCUUGCACACACCGCCCGU